UUAAACUAGAAUAUCUUAAAUUUUAGAUGCCCGAAGUAAGAAGAGCUAACUAUUGUGGGAAUAAAUAAUGUUAGAGCAAGCUAAGUAUAAUGUGGCAAAAUUAUAUGCAAAGUAAUAGUUAGGGGUGAUAGGCCAUUCAAUUUUUACUUAUAACUGGAUUUAGCUGAAAAAUAUCUAGUAUUUUAAGACAUAUUUGAAAAUCUAAGCUUUCAAAUUAACAAAAAUGAGUAUAUUUAAGGUACAGCAGCUUAUUAAUAUAAAAGUGCCUACUUUGGUGUAAAAAAUAAUACUACGAAAAAAUUUUGUUCUGUAGGCUUUGUAUAAGUGUAAUAAUUGUUUUAUACUUAAAUAAUGUUUAAAUUAGUACUAUAUGAAUAAAAGCUAUUAGGAAUUCGGCAAAUUGAUCUCUCAACUGUUUAUCAAAAACAUAGCUAGUUGUUUACAUGAUCAGUUUACUCUGCCCAGUGAUUAAUUUAUUUUAACGGCCGCAGUACACUGACUGUGCAAAGGUAGCGUAAUCAAUUGGCUUUUAAUUGAAGUCGGGCAUGAAAGAGUCAAUGGGGGAAAGCUGUCUUAUUGCUUUUUUUAGGAAAUUACUAAGCAAGUGCAAAUACUUGCUAACAGUAAUAAUAGACGAGAAGACCCUAUAAAUUUUUACUAAGGUGAUUUUUAACUUACACCGUUUUUGUUGGGGCAACAAGUUAACAAUAAAAACUUAAUAAAUUUAACUAGCUAAUCUCUAAAUAAAGCGAGUUUUACUAAAUAUGAUUAAAUUACUAUAGGGAUAACAGCAUAAUUUUUUAUUUAAGAUUGUGACCUCGAUGUUGGAUUAGGGACUUAUUAGAUAAACCAUUUAAAUAAGAGGUUCUGUUCGAACUAAUACACCU
RNAcentral lists this ribosomal RNA (887 nucleotides) under Clausilia dubia vindobonensis. Its description in RNAcentral is "partial large subunit ribosomal RNA". The stretch from base 407 to 564 matches the Rfam family "Archaeal large subunit ribosomal RNA", at positions 1886 to 2087 of the family's 2987-position model. Lineage: Eukaryota; Metazoa; Mollusca; Gastropoda; Stylommatophora; Clausiliidae. The record is from RNAcentral.